This is a long non-coding RNA of Columba livia (rock pigeon), 11379 nucleotides long. RefSeq lists it as uncharacterized. NCBI's taxonomy places the organism in Eukaryota, Metazoa, Chordata, Aves, Columbiformes, Columbidae. The record is from RefSeq and is a predicted model, not a curated record. The transcript has 9 exons.
AGUACCAAGUCCAGGCGGGAGGAGAAGAUGGGAGGAACCACUGCGAGGGAGAGGGGGAAUCCGUGCGGGAGGACGGACCUAUUCGUCCUAGCGAGGGGGGGGGGUAGAGAGAGAAAUUAGGCUGAUAGAGCGUAAAAAAAAACCGCGAACAGCAUAUUUUUCCCGCACUCAGCCUGCGAGACAGGCCCCUAAUUCGGCAUUUAUUGCCGCCUCGGGGCACUUGUGGUGCUACUGUAGGCGCUCGCUGCACUCUGUCCCCCCCUGCUGCUGGAGUAUGGUUGGGUCCAGGUGGUUGAGUUUGCUGAGGGAGGCUGGGAAGUUGAUUUUCAUCGGGCGUUGGUGGUAUAGUGGUUAGCAUAGCUGCCUUCCAAGCAGUUGACCCGGGUUCGAUUCCCGGCCAACGCAACUUCGCUUUUCUUCCCCAUUUUUUUUUUUUUCACAUUUGUCACAGAUUCCACGGCCAGUUCUGCACGCGGAACGCCCCACCCGGCCGCCUUUUUACCCACCCGAACCCCAGUGGUCGGCCGGCGGGACGCGGGCGCUGUCUGGUGGCGCGGCACAUGGUGUCGUUAUUUCCACCAAAGCUCUCGGCGGAGAAGCCGCGGGGCCUCGAGCCGCAGGGGGAAAUAAAUAUAAACCUAAGGAAAAGACACUAAAUCCGACGGGAAAAAAAAAUAGAACCGACGGAAAAAACAACCGAACUUCAAAAAUAGGUGUUUCCGCCCGGGAUCGAACCGGGGACCUUUCGCGUGUGAGGCGAACGUGAUAACCGCUACACUACGGAAACCCGCCAUAUGAUAGUCUUUGGAGCGGCGGGUAAUGUUGGCAUCGUCGACGCGAACCCCCGCCUCGCCUGAGGGAACAAGUGUGUCCUUCGGAGUGUUCCGCACCGCACGGCGACCUCAGCCAAACCCCUUCCGAGUGAUUAGCGUUAAUGAGCAAUUAGCGCGUCCAGAGGCCCACUCGGCUGAGGCAGCUGCCACCAGAUGUCGGUAGAAUAGUGGCAACUUCCCUGCAGAGCUGCUCAGGAGGAUCCAGCGCAGGAGCUGGAACAGGACCGGCUGUUUUCUGAGCAGCAGGACAGGCCCUUGGCAGCCUCUCUUCUCUGAGGCCAAGUUUUCCCUCCCUGCAAAUGAAACUUCAAUGCACAGUGAGCUGGACUCCGUUCUCAUCAGCGAUGUCUCUCCAAGGCAGUGGGAGUUGAGCAAGAGGAUGGGACAGCGCAGGGUGACAUGAUGCCAGUAUCACACUGCUACCUCUUCCAGCCUGCUGAUCAGUGGAGGAAGAAGAGCUGCAGCCCCGGCGAGGAUGCUCUUGGCAGGUUCUGAUCCUGAAGUCCAGCACCAGGGACUGCAGAGGAUGUCGUGCAUCCGUGCACUCACGCAUGUUUUCCAGAGCCCUUGUCCCCAGAAGUCAGGCUGGUGAGGUCCUGCUCUCUCGGGCUGCCAGGUUAGGCAGUCAGUGCUCUAAUGCUGCUUGGCGAGCAGAGGGCACGGAGCUCCACUUUAUCCCUUCCCCUGAGGGUUUCCAUCCACAGAGGCUCCGGCGCAGGAUGCUGCCUGUGUCAGCUCCGCAGUAAUCAGCCCAGAGGCAGAAAGUGGAAACUUUCUGCUUGCAGCCACUUAGUUUCAUUAGAAGCAUCGCAAGAGAAAACAGACCUCGAGUGGGGCAGCGAGAGACAGAGACAUGCGGGAGGUGGGGGAGAGGGGGCUUGUUUUAUGUGUCGGUUAGCGGGUAAGCUUCAGCUAAGGACUGGAGAAGAGCUCGAAAGUGUUAAGGUUCAGCCUGAAGCUAGAGCCUGUCACUGUCAAAUUGCUGUCAGGAGAUUGCACAGCUCUGUAAAACCUGCUCUAACUGUGUUUCACAAGACCAGAACUAAAUUUGAGCAGCAGUCCCAUCCUGCCACCCUAAGGCUUCCUCCCUGCCUCACAUCCCGUCUGGAAGAAUUUUGUCUGAAUUUCUUUUUAAAAAAUCUUUGUGCACUGAAGUAGAAAUAGAAGGCAAAGCUUGGAGUGGGGUUGUUAAAUACUGCAAUAGCUCCUGGAUCCUGCUGCUGUUUCCUCUCGCCUCUGUGUUUCUCUUUGUUCUGUAGGGAACUGGAGAUCUAGGGCCAGGCAGCAGCAGCUUUUUCAAUAAAUAAGGCAGGAAAAAGUGACCAAGAGGUCCCAGAAGAACAGAUCCCAGAUUCCUGAAGUCCCACUCACUGCAAAGGGUUGUCUCUUAUUUGUGCUCCCUGCCUACUUUGUGGACACAGAUGUUCUAUUAUUCCCACGUGGACGAGCGGUUGUUUUUAUGUCGGUGAGCCACGCAUCUUCUGCUUAGAAAGGUUUGUUUGUUAGCUUUGGAGAUUUCAACAGAAAUAAUCAUGUUUGGAGCACCAUUCUCCAGUGAGCUCGGCCCCAGGAUGAAUCGGGGCUUGGCCAGGGAGCGCAGGCAGCCAGGAGAUGGAGCAGCUUGCCUCCUCAGCAUGGUGCAAGCCAGGGACUAGAGAGAGAAAGCCCGAGCCCUUAGCAGGGCUCUUCUCUUUGAUGAAGCAGAUGUGACUGCUUUUUUAUGCCACAACCGCUCUGCGUUUGCAAAGAAGCAAAAAGGCUCGCAGAUUUGUGUCUCGGGGCUGGGACACGGGGCCUUUCAUUUUCUUCAAGGGCACUUGAGGAAGAUCUCUUUGUACCUGUUUGGAAUUAAUUCUGCCAGUCCCCGAUCUGAUCACACUCUCCCCAUAUUGGAGUUCAAGAGAUGCCUUCCAUUUUCUUUCUUCUCUCCGGGACAAUUGAUAUCCUGGGACGGAGCUGCAUGAACAACCAGGACUUGAUUCUAGUGGAGGCUACACAUGCUCAGAGCCUCCAAGAAUCGGAUUCUGCAAACCUCACUGCUGCAGCAGCUGCUGCUGACACAUUUGUCCCAUUCCCUGACGCACGUCCCUGUCCCCCAAGCCCCAGGGCCCCCUCUGUGCCCCAUCAGCAGAAAGUGCUGUUCUGUUUGGGGCUACCUCGGAGCUGCUGGCACAACAAAGCUGUUUUGUUUUUGGCUGAGCGCUCAGCAUCUGAGCUCUCAUGUGGUUGGAGCCCAUUUUUUUUGUUGCAAGAAUGAAAACAGUGGAUUAAUGAGCUGCUUGUGGCUAAUGUGCAGGGUUUCUCAGAACUGGUGCUAUUAGAGCCCAGCGUCAUGUAGGAGGUAAAUGGCAGCACAUGGUGAAUAAAGCAGUGAUAUAAUAGGUUUAAGUAGUCCAUUUCCCUUUGGAGUGUUACUGAUAACAUGCCCAAAUGCAUACGAGACCAUUACUUUAAUGAAUAAGACCGCUCUCUGGCAGAGCACGCACUGCAGCUCCUCACAAGGGGUUUAUUUUUCAUCAUUUUCAUCAAAAAAAAGGCUUGGGUCUUAGAGCUGGAGUGGGGAGUGGGGAGGGCAGGACAGAGACAGGGGAAAAGAGAAGGACAGAAGAGAAGAAAUGUGAAUGAGACUAAAAAGGGAAGAGAAAUGACGAAGGGACAUGAAUAAAUGCAGAAGAGGCAUGAUGUGGUUUGCACCAAAAUGGUCUCCAGGAACCGCAAUAAGAGGAACCGGUACAUUGACACCCAGAGGACAAGGACUGGACAUUUGGUCCUGUCUGUUGGAAGGGACACAUCUUUCUUUGGAAGCAUCAUUGUCCACAGCCAAAGUGACAUACUACAAAACAUACAGACAGCAGUGGGCCGGGGCUCAGUCUCUUUUAGGUAAUCAAUGACCUCUGGAAGUCCCAAUCAGUUCAGAAUUAGCAUCACUUUGUGGUAGGUAAUUCUACCCACAUCAGUGGAGUUUCUCAGGAUUUAGCGUCUCUAAUCAGCACUGUGAAAUCCCAGUGCUCACUAAUUGCCAGACUAAUUCUGAGCUAGUUAAGCAUCUGUCAGCUUGUUGAAGAUACUCCACACUGACACCACUGCAUGUGAGAGCAGAAUUUCCCUCCACAUCUUUCCUCAUAGGCAGCUGACUUUUCUCUGGGGAUGGGCAUGUAGAGCAUCAUUCCCUGAAAAACCUCUUCGAAGCACAAUGAUCAUGUGGUUUCUGAAGCCACUUCUAACUGGUGUGGUGGGAUCUGAAUUGGGCUGCCUUGUUACACACUAGUACGUACUCUUGUGCCAACUAAAGCCUUGUUUUGGCCACCUUUUUCCAGAAUCUCUCUAUGGAGGAGACACUGUUCAAAUCCAGCAUCAAAUGACCCUAAAUUAACUGUUUGGAAUUCACCAGAUGAGGUGAGUUCCACAGAGGUGUAAUUCUUUUAGGGUCUAGUGGCAACAGCAUCUAAUUUUUAGCAGAAUAAAUGAGAUGAGAAUCACUAAGGAUCAAGGUUCCUAAAUGAUGGGUUAUUUUUUCCCUCUGAAAGCCUAAAUCAGUGAUUCACAGGGUGUUUAGGGAUAUAAACAUGGUCUGAGUGAUCCACAGCAGACCUGGCCCUGGCAGGAAGGAGAGGAAGCAGCUUAGGACAGCGUACAAGGGUAGGACAUAUAAAGAAUAAAGCUUCUCCUACCUGUAUUUUUGUAGCUUCCAGCGAUCUGUGAGAACUGCCUGGAUGGUGCAUCCAGACUAUUAAGUUUAAUCGCCACUGAUAGACCAAACCUCCAUAAACUUGUCUAAAACCUUUUGAACCUGUUUAUGCUCCCAGUCUACACAAUAACCUGUGGCAAACGAGCUCCAAAAUGUAAUUAUGUGCUGUGUGAAAAAGCGCUUCUUUCUGUUUGUUUUAAACUUGACUGGUGAUUUCACUGGGGCACCAACUUCUCGUAUUGUGAGAAACAGCAUCUCAAAUAUCUAAGGGACAUAGAAUCCCAGAUUUUAUGGAAAGAUCAUGGGAUUUUGACUUGUAAGUGUUAAAACCACUUCUGAAAAUUGAACACAGGUUCUACUUGUUAUGCUUAUGAAAAUACUGCCUCCCGUGCUCGUUUGCUCUUCAGCUUGUGUUUAUUUAUUUCAUUUUUGUCCUUUAACCUCUCCUUACGAGCCACUCUAGCCCCUGACAGAUCCAGUUCUCAAGCUUCUUGUUUACUCAGUUAGCAUGGGCUUUGUUUUUACAGUACUCUCCUUUGAACUGCUUCAGCAGCUGAGAGUCUGCUGCUGGAAACACGAACGCAAACUCCACCAAGGACAGGCCAGUUUGUCUGAACGACCUCUUUCUCAUUAUAUUUGCGAUGGUCGCAAUGUCACAAGUUCAAGUACAUGCACAUGGGGUUUAAUACAACGCGGAGAUAAAGGCAGGGAGAUAGACUUGCACGCUCUCCCCCGAGACGUGAAUAUACUCUGCCACUAUUUGAUUGUGCCUUUUGCAGACACCUCAUUAAAAGUGUGUUCAUUACACAUAAACAUGUCCUUGUACUUGCGCAGGCGUGCGUGCUCACACACCGGGUUUGAACACAGUGAGGGAUAGCUCAUCCUCACACAAAUAUUAAUAUCUCUGAUUCCUCACAGCUUGGACAGAGAGCUUGGCUCUAACAAGCCAUUGUUCAUUUGUCGCCUUUUCUGCCCUCCAUGGCAUUGGAUCUUCCUGGUUGCAUUGUUAACUUACUCUGUCUUAUAUGCAGUUUUGAACAUGCCCCCUCUUGCCUUUAGUCCAAAUAAUAUUUCUUCUGAGUCUGAUACACCUCCUGUAUCAACUGCUGGUACCAACAGUUCUGAUGUGGUGUAGAACUGAGUUAAGAGGCAGAGGAACCAGACCCUUUGAAUCUUUCUCUUCCCAUCAUGUCAAUCCAGUCUGCUGCAUGAAGCUAUUCGUAUCUUAUAUUCUUGCGGGCACAUGCUCUAGUCUGGAAGAUUAGAUAAAAGUGGAUAAGCAUCUCCUGAAAGCAGUUUGAUGCACAGAGUUAGCAAGGAUGCGUUACCUUCCUCAGAAAAAGGAGGAAGAUUUUGGAAGGCAAGGGGUGUGAGGAGACUGAGCAUGUCUGAGACAUGUUCCCUCGAGUUUUCACGUCCUUCAGCUAUGCAAACCAUUGCGUCAGUGAAGAUAAAUCAGUGUGGCUCUACAAAAACCAGCUGAAUGAAGCUGACUUUCUGCUGCCAAGGAUCAGGUGUAUGUGAGAUGUGAAUGGAAGGUCUCCUGGCACAGCACUAGCAACCUCUGGAGCCUUGUUGUGGCUAAUGCUCACCCCAUGACUAACGAAUGAGCAGCAUUAACAGGCUUGGGAAGUUACUGUUCGAGCACGCGGUGCAGAGCUACACACCUUCCCUAUCUCCCUCCAUCAUAGUGAAAGCAAAAAGAGGAAAGACAGGCUGUUGUGAGACUGCUUGGUAUAUUUGGAAGGCUGGUAUUACAGAACAGUGCCACUUGCCAAGUCAACUGCAUUUGCUAGUUCAAAGGCUUUAUUUUUACUGCCAAGAUCUGCUGGCCUGUGUACAUGUGUAUCGCACCCGUUAGGUGUGUGAGACGCCGCAGAGACAACCCCUACAGGGAAGGGGAGAAGGGAUGUGGGGUGCACGCUAGCAGAAAUCCACGUCAGAGGUAUCGGGGUGUGCUGGUGGACACUGAAUGUAUAGUACAUUUACAGAUGCCCAGCAAGCGAUCCUGAGGUGUGCAUCACGUGGGGAGUAAAAGUGCCGGUGUGUGUGCACACGCAUAAGGGUGUCUCCAUCUGUGUGCAAACAAGCAGGAACAUCUACAAACAAGUGUACUGCACAGAGGGAGCAGGUAGCACGGAGUGGGUGCAUGUGUAAGGACGUGUGUCUAGAGGGGAGGUGUGAGGAGACGCUGUGUCUGUGGAAGUCUGUGUGUAGGCAGCAAGUCUGCUUGUGUGUGCAGGGAGAGGGAUUUGGGGGAAGGAGAUGAGAUUGGUCUAUGUGGGAGCUCAGCACCAGUCCACACAGGUAGGCUGGAUCAGUGCGUGCAGUGAUGGAGAGCUCUCAAGGUGGCUGGAUCCCUGUCUGUAAAGGUCUCUGUGAUAUAGAUUUUAAACACACCUCGGAGAAGGGUCUCAAAUGUGCGCUAGAGCUCCUCCGUGAAAAGAGGAGAACACAGGGGGGCUGGGAGCGCGUCUCUGUUAGCACGUAGCUGUUGUUUUGUUUGUGAUGCGUCUUCGGUUUGAUGGGGCGUAUGUAGGAUGGUGCAUGAGCGAUGGGUGCGUGGGCUGGGAUAGGUGUGCAGCGCUGGCUGUGUGCGUAAGGGAGGGGACGGCGGGGAGGGCUGAGCAGAGGCAGCCCUGGGGCUCGGGGAUUCUGAGCGCUUUGUCCUGCUGCCUAGCAUCACUAAAUUCAGAACAGGUGCUUUCUAUUUUGGGCGUUUCUCCCUCCACGCACCUUUGCUCCCCAUCUUCCGCCCGGCUGGGCGUCAGGCCCUCCGAACCGCGGCUCUCCCGCACUUGUUGAGGAGCAUCGGCAGGAGAAGGAGCGGUUCCCUUGGAAACCUCUGGAUGCCCAGCAACAAGUCGCUGGCAGCUGCCAUGUGACCAGGUGCAUUAAUCAGACAUGUUGUAUGAAUCAGGUCAGUCGGGGCCAAAGUCCAGCUCGCUCCCCCUUCGCUUCGUUGCUAAUUACCGAGCUGCGAAGGCUGCUCUGGCUAGGGGGUGGAAAACAACUUGAAAUAAUUAAAUAAAACAGUGACCUUCCCUGUUGCGGCUUCUAAGUUCAUCCCAGACUUUCUCCACAGAAAAAUCUAUGCAAUCCACUCUUCCACUUAAAUGAACCUAGAAUGCAAAUGAGUGAAGCGGGGGAGUCUCGCAAAGAGGGAAAGCCAGAGAGAAUGGAUCUGCCACAGACGCAGUGAGUUUCUAGGUCUCUUCUCACAACAAACCCUACAUUUCAAAAGCAGCUUUUGAAUGAGUAGCUCAGGCUUGAGACUGGUUGAGCUUGACAGAGACACCUCAAAUUCACAACUCAGAUCCCUUUGCAAAUGAAAUUUCUGAAGUCUCAAGUGAAAUUGCUGGCCAAAAUUACUGGUUAGAUGGCACGGAGAGGACUUGAAUCCAAAGUUCUACCCAAUACCUCUAAAAGAAGAGGUUGCAGCUCUCAGGAGAACAGGCAGUGCCUGUACACUUCUGAUCCCUUGUGAACAACUGCAAAAUGGCUGUUCUUUGUAGAUAUGCAGCUGAAGAGCUUAUUCAUCCUUCCCCAUGGCCUGUUUCGUUAACCUCGGUGGGGCCUUUCUCCAUCUGACUCAAGAGCAGAGGGCUCAAAGGCCAAAGCUGGAGGAAUAUCCAAGUUGAUUUUGUAGCUGCAGCUCUGGACCAGGGGACAGCAGCAGUUACCAUGUUAAGACUGAACUGAGCACAAAUUGGGAGAGUCCUGGUGAGCAAAUGAGGUAAAGGGAAAACUAAGGAUGAAGAGAUCCAGCUGGGGCAAUAACAGCUGUAAGCACUGGCCUCAGUCCCUUACUCUGGGUUCCUUUCUAGUAAGAUCUUCUGAGGGAAUUAGGUACCCAAGCCUUCCUGUCCUUCCAGUGUAUGUUCUGGAGGGACUUGGGCACCCCUCAGCAUCUUCCAUAAGAAAUUACAGUUUCAGCUUCUGUCCUUUUCACAUUUUCCCCAAAUUCCUGCUUUGUCUGGAUAAAUCCAGAGCCAAGGCUUCCAGAUUUGUCUCCUGAAUGGAAAUCUCUCACAGACACACAUUCAAGGCCAGGCUCUAGCAAGGCUGUAACUUCUUUUACCCGUACACCAGUCUACGUUCUGCGUGCUGUGACUAAUGCAUUGCAAGGUCAUUGGAUACCGCUCAAUCUCCAUCUCCUCCUUCGAGAGAUCAGUGCUUGAGCAUCCCAGGGUAUUCACCAAUUUAUGUCAAACACAGGUACAUUCUGCUGAAAACCACCUUUUAUCUUAGGCAACAACAAAAAUGUCGCAGUGGCCGGUGAGAUUUUCAGCUGAUGUAAGCGAGCCACGGGAUUUGGCCCAUAAUCCACAAUAGUGCUGAAGACCAGGAAAAGGAAAAAAAGGAGUUGGAAACAGAGCACCUGGCUUCAUUGUAAUCACACUGCAAUUUGAAUAGCAUCCAGUGCCACUUCAAAAUGGGCUCUUUUCAUGUCAUCUGCUGCUAGAUCCAGACCUUAAGAGCCCAAUAUUUACCCGCAGGAGAUCCGUUCACAGCAGGCAGCAGUUUCCCCAAAUCAGAACUGAACACGGAUCUCAAGUAUUACCUAGACAAAGCCUUCAACUUUGAAGCAUUUUGAUUUGUAUCUAAUUAAUCUUCCAAGCAAUUGUUAUUUUUCCUUUGGUGUCAUGUGAUAAUAUUUCCCGUGCACAGGAUAUGCCAGAAGACAAAGCUUUACCUCAACGUACUGACCACCUAGGACAAUCGAGGGCAGUCUUGAAGAAUUGAUGUCUGCAGCUUGUGUAUUUGCAAUCUAAGAGGCGCAAGACAAAUCCAUCCCAGAUGACACCCUCCAGUCAAAAUCAGAAACAUAUGCUUGUUCCUGGAUGUGAGGGUUAGGAAAUAAAUCUGUUUUCACUGGCAAGUGAUGUGUUCCUUGGCACACUCGAGGGAAUAACUGUCUGACCUUCUUGCUGUAGCAAUAUGAGAGAACCAAAUGGAUUCUAGAUACUCAGAUCUGGUCUGCAACUCAGCUCAGUGUCUCUGGGAAGAAAUGGAGGGCUGGGGUUUUGUGUAAGCUCCAAAACCAGGAUGAUAAAGGCUGAGAAUUUAGGAUGAAACUUGGCUUGUCCAUUGAGCUGGGAAAUCAGGGGGUAUGAGCAACACAGGCUGAGAGACGGUCUGGUAGGAUGGAAGGAACAGGCUGUUUAGGGUUUUGAUCUGGGAGACGCUGAACAUCUUACCUCCACAAAGCAAAACAUGCAGGUCCUAAGAGUGAAGCACAGGAAGAAUCUUGCUGGCUCUUUGGCAGCCUGCGCACAGGCAGAGCGUGUGUCCCUCGUGCGGACAGUCCCUUCACCCACCGCCCUCUCUCCAAGGGCUCCAGCCAUCGCUACCCCCAUGGACAGACCUGUUGCUCUCUGCCAUCGCUCCCCGACCCGCCUUUACGUGAGGAGGAGACUUUUACACUGAAGCGCAGGCAGCUCUCCAUGAUGUAAUCUGUGCAAUCUCUGCAUUCGCAAGGAAAAGCAGCCGCCCGUUGGCCAAAGCCACGAGUCCCCGCCUGGGUGCUCCUCCCGCCGCCCCCCCGGUGGCUCAUAAAAGCCCCGAGGCAGAGGCAGGGCAGCUUUCCCAGCCCCUCUGCUCGCAAAGGUGACCCGGGGACAGCGUUCUCAGCGACGCUGAUGAAGGUGUGUUGGCAACAGAGGAACAUGCAGAUUUCACAUCGCCUGACCCGGUGCAACACAGGUACCAUGAGAAGCCCAGAGCCAGGAGCAGAUGGGACUGUGCAGCGGCAUAUUGUCACCUGGAAAUAAACACACAUACACACGCAAACCGUGCUGAAGACAGAAAUCAACUGACGUGUUCGCUGUGGAGGAAUCCCCAGGGGUGCCAGCAGGAUGCAUUCACAGCGCUGCGAUGGGAAGAGCACGGAGCCAAAAAACAAGAAGUGAGCACAUCCCUUUGUGUCGGCUUCGUCGCCACAGCGCAAACCCUAGAGCAUCUGGGAGGAGUAAACCAGGGAUGUUUCCAGAUUUCGGCAGAUGCGUCUGAGAGCAGCCUGGGCAGAAACUGAAGGAAAUGGAAGCAAACCGGAGAGGCACGAGGCCGUGGGACCGGGUUUGAGGAUGGGAAGGCCGCCGGCUCUUGUUUAAUAUCGGAGGCUGAGGUAAGCAAGCCUGGCUGAGACAACGGCGGCCGAACGGAAUACAGCGAGAUCCUUCCCGUGGAUGUGAGCCAGCAUUGUCCUGUCACACCUUAUUUGUGCCAUAUGCGAGGUAUUAACAGAAAGAAGCCGGGUUGUGGACGCAAAGCUAAACCUGGGGUGAAAUAAAGACCGCUCGUCAACAAAUUCAGAGGAAAGGAAACAGCAAAAAGGUUUUGUUUUUCUUGCUUAAAUCAGUCUCUCAGCAGGAUUCCAGGAAACCCGGCACUAUCAUUAUCAUUUGCUUUGCUAACUGAUGCCUUUUCUCUAGCGUUCUGGAGUAUAUAUUGCAUUUGCUUAUUUUAGUCAGACCAAAAUACAGCAGAGGGAUAGACAGGUUGACAGAGCACUCCUGGAGAAGUUUAUCACAGGGUAAGGAAAAAGGAGACCCUGCUGAGCUCUGAUAUCCCUGAAAAAAACAUUAUCCGAUUUUUUAUAGGCAUAUAUAGUCUCCUGAGUGAGUAAAUGGAGCAGAAACUCAAAGGUGCAGUCACAAGAUCGGACAGACUAUAAUAGUGAGAUUUGACAGUCUCACAAAGAAUACUGUGGGUUUGUUUCUUGGGUUUUUGUUGCUUUUUUUCACUGCGAAUGGCCGCAUCCAUCCCUGAAAUGAGAAACAAGCGUGGAAAGAAUGAGAAGAACUGAGGAAGGCUGGCAGAAGGAUGUCGCUGAGGAGGAAGCGCGGCUCUCGGUGG